AGUAUAAUGUUUAUUAGAGUAAAUCAUGGCUAGUUACAAUACAGUGUGAAACAUAGGAUGCAAAUCGAAUAUAAAGGUUUCGAGAUAAUACCGGGAACCUUACAGCUUAUUACUACACACAAGAGAAGACACUGAAGCGAAGACAGGAAUACCAACUGCGUAAUAAAGUGGACGAGUUCUUUUACACGUCUACGAUAGUCGGAGGGAUGUGAGAAUAGAUGGGAGCUUAAAGGUGUCUUCAACUUCGAGAACUCGAGAUAUUGACUGCACAGCAUGAUUGCUCCGAAAUGCUAGAAGUACAGGCUGCUCCUUACCAACCAUACAAGAUGUCCAUGCUGACAAAACUUUACAGAAUGCACGUUUCGAACCGGCUCCAGAAGCAGAUUGACAUGUUGUGCUUCUCCAACUUCAGCAACGUAUUCGCUCAAGAUGGCGACGAUGGAGAUGGUUCUGACUGGUAAUGCGACAACUGGACCCGUGGUCAAGAAUCACUCGAACUUCUUGUCGCAAGUCUGAGGGGUGACGAUGAGGGAUAUUCUGUCCCGGUUGCGAGAACAGGACGAGCGGUGAAGAUCCAUUCGAUUUUCAUUGUGCAGAUGUCGGGAAUAUGACACCCGCGGCAUACCAUUUGUUUAUUUAAUUAUAAAAAAUACAUUUUAUAAUAACCGAUUCUCCGCGUGGCAAUAGAUCGAAACUUUUCCCGGCGCGAUAAAUUUGCCGCAACCGCAAUCUAUAAUAUUGACGCCUCCCCUUGGUAUCCUAUUUCUUUACCUUCUCCCUCCAACAAAUUCCGGUAAUUAUCAACGUUCCCAUCGCCAUCAGAUAAAGAAGAUCAUCUUUCAUAAAUCGCAAAACCUAUCAAAGGACAAUAUGUAAAUUCUCCUGCCGAAAAUAAUUUGAAACACUUACACAAUUUUGAAGCAUAACUCUUGGUGCAAUCGUAUGCAUGCAGGAAUACAUACAGCGAUGCAAUAAAUUUGUUCCUUUUCGUAGAGCGUAGAGAUCCAUUUCUGUUUGGGUCACAAUUAGAAUGGUACAAAAAAAAAUAAUUAAUUGGUAUUCUUAACGAAAAAUUGAUGCCUACCUUGAUAUUUCUUUUCAACCGUAAGAACGGAAUUAACGCUCACAUUACAAGUGGCUAUCCCGACCAAAUCACGAAGGCGGCAUAAAUAUUUUGACAGAAUCAUCCACUUCAGUAGUUGCUACAUGUGUUCUUCAUACCUAGUCUAGUCGUUUUAUAAACACAAACUUGAUGCUUUUCAUCAGUCCAUGGUCCUUUCAACGUUUCAAGUAAUUCUCAAGCGUGUUUUCAUCCAAGUUGUUGAUAAUUCUACGAGGUUGAAACCGUCACAUUUCCUGCAUUGUAAAAAAUUGGUUUUACCAGAAUGAAGUGCAACUCUGAUCUCAAUCAUAUUUACCAUUCUUUUUUCGAUUUCUCAUCACGUUCACGAUUCACGUUCUGGCUCGUAGAAAAAUUCAACUUGUUAUUCUUAACGACAGGUUGAUAUUUAUUUUCAACCCUAACAACCGACCUAAGCCCCCUGAACAGCUUGUGUUUAGUAUUUUAUUAACCGUACAACCUGUAUUAAUUAUUUAUUUGCAUAUAAUAGUA
Molecule: long non-coding RNA, 1612 nt
Organism: Nicrophorus vespilloides
Lineage: Eukaryota; Metazoa; Arthropoda; Insecta; Coleoptera; Silphidae
Exons: 3
Source: RefSeq, a predicted model, not a curated record